Molecule: long non-coding RNA, 1076 nt
Filed under: Homo sapiens (human)
Lineage: Eukaryota; Metazoa; Chordata; Mammalia; Primates; Hominidae
Description: HSALNT0319583
Source: RNAcentral
GCGCGCCGCGUGAGUCCGAGCCGGCCGCUCAGAGCGCUCCAGGCUGGGUUCCCGGGCCCCGCCGCGCCGCCUCCUUCCCAGCUCGCCCGCCCAGGCCUGGCCUCCUGCUUUUCCAUUUGAUUCCCUGCCUCUUUCUAUUCGGACUGGAAUGCCGGGCCAGGCUCCGGGGCGCGCCGCUGCGGCAGCCGCACCUCGCAGGUCCCCCGGCCGACCCCGACGCGGAAGCGGCGGCCCUCCUCGCCGUCGGGGAGCCAGGGAGCCGGGGACGGUUCUCGCUAUGUUGCCCAGCCUGAGGCUGGGCAGCCCCGAGUCAUCCCAAACUCCUGGGCUCCAGCAAUCAUCCCACCUUGGCCUCCCAAAGCGCUGGGACAACAGGCGUGAACCACUGCACCCAAUGUUUACAUUCCUGAUCUCCUUUAAUCGCCACCAUAACUAUCAGCUGGUACAUGCUAUUAUCUCCUUUUUUGCAGAUCAGUCACAUAAGGCUUAGAGGAUCAAGGAUCCUGCCCAGAUGACUUACCGAAAUGUUACAGAUUAAGUUGGUGUGGUAACCUGGGCUGAGCACUCUGGGAGAGGAAGAGAAGAGAGAAGACAGGAAACAACUGAACUAUGACCAAUCCCAGCACGGAGGCCCAGAAAACUUUAAGAUUUGAGUAUUAAUGUCUCAAGGUCAGGAGCAACCUCAAGGCUAAAACUCAGAUCUCAGGACUCAAUUUCACAGAAGUUCCACUAUAAAGGCAAUAAUCUAAAGCUUUAAAUGAUAUGAAAAUUUUGUAAUAAGAGUUCAGUAUUUCUGCCAACAUUGGCGCAUGGAUUGCAAAGUUCACAGGAUUGAAAACACCAUCGACAUAAUGGAAAUUGAACAGCAUCUGAUUACUGAGUGCUAUAUCAGCAAGUUAAAAGGAUCUUUUGCAUACCUUUUAAUGGUAUAUAUCCUAAAACUGAAGUGUUCAAUAUAGACAUCCAGAUUGAAACUCAGGCAGUGAAUUACAUACACAACAAAUCAGUUGAACAUGGCAGAGCUUGUCAGACUUAUGAAAGAUUAAAUACAUUUUACAUUUCCACAAGUGUGGUAU